Molecule: ribosomal RNA, 253 nt
Filed under: uncultured bacterium
Lineage: Bacteria
Description: partial 16S ribosomal RNA
Rfam family: Bacterial small subunit ribosomal RNA
Source: RNAcentral
UACGGGGGGGGCAAGCGUUGUUCGGAAUUACUGGGCGUAAAGGGCUCGUAGGCGGCCAACUAAGUCAUACGUGAAAUCCCUCGGCUUAACCGGGGAACUGCGUCUGAUACUGGAUGGCUUGAGUUCGGGAGAGGGAUGCGGAAUUCCAGGUGUAGCGGUGAAAUGCGUAGAGAUCCGGAGGAACACCAGUGGCGAAAGCGGCCACCUGGACUGCACCUGACGCUGAAACGCGAAAGCUAGGGGAGCGAACGGG